UGCCCAUCAGAAAUACACAGUAUGUGCACCAGAUCUGGGUGCUUAGGACUUCGGAGACUGUAUAACAAAAAUGACUUCAGGAGAUAGAGACACUGGAGACAGUGGUUGAAAAACACGGUCUUUGACAGAAGUGACUUGUUUAAUCCAGCUGUCCCACUUACUUAUGUGACUCUGGGGUAAUUUAACUUCUCUAUCCCCAGUUUCCUGUUAUAAAAUGGGGAUAACAUUGAUGGGUCAUUUAAUUACAUAAGAAAAUGUGGAGUCCCGUCUGUGGCGCAACAGGAUUGGCAGCAUCUCUGCAGCGUCAGGAAGCAGGUUUGGUCCCCAGCCAGGCACAGUGGGUUAAAGGAUCUGGCAAUGCCACAACUGUGGUAUAAGUCGCACCUCUGGCUCAGAUCUGAUCCCUGGCCCAUGAACUCCAUAUGCUGUGGGUCAGCCAAAAAAGAUAAAGAAAAAAAAAAAAAGAGAAAAUGUAUGCGAAACUCUCAGCAUGGUGCUUGAGCCAUAGCAAAUGCCAAGUAAGUUAUAACUGGUAUUAUUACCUUUAUUAACAGCUAACAUUUAUGUGAUACUGAUGACCUAUAGAGCUCUUUAACCUGUUCUUUCUCAUUUGUGAAUCUCGGUACUUUGUACAGAACAGAUUUUGAAAUGUUCCUUGGACUUUGUAUUCAUUUUCAUAAGAGAGUUCCUUUUAUCUGUGUAGCUGUGUACACUCAGUUGGCAUUUGUCAUAUGCCUUCAUGCCAGUUGUCUCCUUAUCUAAAUUAACCUCUAAAACCCUUUGAGUACAAAGGUUGUGUCUUAUUCAGCUGGGUUGUCUCUCUACACAGCACUGGGACACAGGGUCUGGACCAAUCAGGAAUAGAGCCAUAGCGCUACAAUUUAUUAUCUAAGUGAACUUAGUCAUUCUCUGCCUUCCCAGGAUGCAUCAUUUACUCAUUCUCAUCUGUAAGACAGGUAGCAAAUUUCUAGUGAGGAUUUAGUGAUGUGUUAAGAAGCACUUCACAUAGCAAAUUACAAAUGUCUUUUCCCCCAUACCUCACUGUGCUUAGCUCAGUAGUUGGUGCUUAGAAAGUAUAUGUUCACUGGGGGUUGGAGGCUGAUGGGAAGACUGUGGACCCAAUUCCUAACUUUAGUAUCAAGAUGUGUUCAUUUCAAGACUGAAAACUGUAGCAUUCCCUGAUGUUUCAGCAGGUUAAAGAUACGGUGUGGUCACUGCGAGUUUGAUCCCUGACAUACCUUGGGCGCAGCCAAGGAACUUCUGCAUACCUUGGGUACAGCCCAAAAAAAGUGGGGGGAAGGCUUUUCUUUGGGAUCUGGUCACCAUGAAGGAUGUUAUGGUAGCUCAUUUAAUAUCCUGGUAGUUUGCCUUUGAAGUGUUUGCUUUUUGCUGUUGUAAAGGUGGGGCAUAGGUAUACAUAGGUGCUCAGAGCAGGUUCAGUUCUGUAUCUACGUUGAGAGUAAACUUAAUCUAUAGUGAGCAAAUGCUGAUUUUGGAGUAUGAGGGCUCUGUAUUCAUUUCCGUAUUGAAUAAAAAGUAAAGUCAUGUAUAGAGAAAAAAAGCAAAAGUAUUUAAUUACAAAAUCCCUUUGUUCAUUUUGGGAAGUGGUACCUUUGUUAAUCUCCUAAGAGACACAUUAUUAUAUUCUGUUAGUAUCAUUAAAUAGUCCAAGAAAGCAUGAUGCAUCAAUUUUAAAUGUAUUUUUGUAUUUUUCCUGGCACAGUUUUUAUUAAGCUUUGUGUAAGGAAGAGGAUGUUGUUUCUUAUGUAGAGGGGAAGUGCCUAGUAGACAGAGAAAGGUGAAGAGUGCUAUUUCCUUGAAUAUAGAUUGGGGUUUAGUUUCCACUUAAGGAUGUCUCUGAGAAGAACAGAGCCAGUUCUGCUUAGCAGCUUGGUUUCUGCUAUUUAUGGAGUGGCGGAUGUGUUUUCAUCUAGGCUGUUCCAUCAGGUACUUUCUGUACUCUUGGGAUGUGGGGAGUUGGCUUUGGCUCAGGUGAGGUGCACAGGUUCUAUGUCCCUUCUCUCCUACGAUGGUAGCGAUGACGGGCUGCUUUUAAGGUAAUCACUGCUGGGGGCUAGAGCACAGGAACCUUAGUCAGUGGGGUGGCAAAUUUGCUGAAAGAGAAGACAGGAAUCUUUUUAUUAAGCUGUAGUGUAGUCCCUAUGUGAUUCCCUCUUUGGUGGCCUUUUAAGUACAGGAGAAAUUUGCAUGAGGAACUUAGUAUCCAAGAGCCUUUGAUUUUAUGAAGUCUGAAAAAGUAAUGACCAGUUUUAAUACAGUGGUAAUAUUCCAUGCAUGUCCCCUCAAUCCACUUGGUAGAGAGAGGUUUGAAUGUGGUGACUCUAGUGAAACCUUUCCUGAGAAGGGAGAAGUCAAUGCUACAUGUAGCCUGGU
RNAcentral lists this long non-coding RNA (2394 nucleotides) under Sus scrofa (pig). RNAcentral describes it as "lncRNA (ENSSSCG00040040887.1)". Lineage: Eukaryota; Metazoa; Chordata; Mammalia; Artiodactyla; Suidae. The record is from RNAcentral.